RNAcentral lists this transfer RNA (40 nucleotides) under Pachylobus buettneri. RNAcentral describes it as "Dacryodes buettneri partial transfer RNA-Phe". Lineage: Eukaryota; Viridiplantae; Streptophyta; Magnoliopsida; Sapindales; Burseraceae. The record is from RNAcentral.
GUCGGGAUAGCUCAGCUGGNAGAGCAGAGGACUGAAANUC